CUACAGAUGUAAGAAAAACAUGGUCUUGCGCUUUCCGUCUGUCUAAUUGUGGCAGCUGAGAUUGAAUAGAGGAAUACAGGG
Molecule: small nucleolar RNA, 81 nt
Filed under: Aotus nancymaae (Ma's night monkey)
Lineage: Eukaryota; Metazoa; Chordata; Mammalia; Primates; Aotidae
Description: Small nucleolar RNA SNORA31 (ENSANAG00000004846.1)
Source: RNAcentral